Molecule: unclassified non-coding RNA, 1222 nt
Filed under: Rhizobium sp. PEVF03
Lineage: Bacteria; Pseudomonadati; Pseudomonadota; Alphaproteobacteria; Hyphomicrobiales; Rhizobiaceae
Description: partial contains 16S ribosomal RNA, 16S-23S ribosomal RNA intergenic spacer, and 23S ribosomal RNA
Rfam family: tRNA (bases 332-405)
Source: RNAcentral
AGCUGUGGAAUUGGUAGACGAUCGGCACAUGUCCUCGGACAUGGCCCGAUAUGAACCUUCCCGUGCUUUUUAGAACAUAGAUGGCACCAGUCAGGUGACUAUCGAAACGUAAUACGCCGCGAUGACUUCGGUCACGACGGUAUGGCGAGCUUUCGCCGUCCACGUUUCUCUUUCUUCAAAAGGAUAUCGAACCAUUGGUUUGCGCUCGCGCGCUGUUCGCACCUUCGGUGCUGCGCUCCGCGGGGGCGCCGGACGACCGGCGACGGCCUCUGGCCUGUAUGGGCGACCCUUUCCGAGGUCUUGCUUGGGAUUGGCGUCGACGCAGAGAGAUGGGCCCGUAGCUCAGUUGGUUAGAGCACACGCUUGAUAAGCGUGGGGUCGGAAGUUCAAGUCUUCCCGGGCCCACCAUUUGCACCGGCAAAUGAGGUUUGCUGUAGCGAAUUGUGGUUUGUUUGGGUUUACCUGAUCCUGGCGGUUUGCUGUCAGGUGUUUGCGAUGGUUGGGGCUGUAGCUCAGCUGGGAGAGCACCUGCUUUGCAAGCAGGGGGUCAGCGGUUCGAUCCCGCUCAGCUCCACCAAUUCGCUUGGUGUCGAGACUGAGAGAUAUCCUUUGAAGAAAUAAAAGUUUUGCAUCGGCUUAUGGCUGGUGCGUGUUCUGCAUACAUUGUGAAGAGAAGAUUGAUCUGGAGGCUUCCAGGUGUUUUGGGUUCUGCCCAAGGCGUCCGAGCCCAGUUCCUGUGAAACCAUGGAUGGCCUAGCCGGCCGGAUGUGGUGGAGGGAUUGGAGGUAGGUAGGAAGCUUGUCGCUCUGGAUCGUCAGCGUAAACCGCAUAGCGGUUUAUCGCGUGUUGUUCGUUGCCUUCGGGCUUCGUCUGACAGACGAUCGGAUUACCGUUGCCUGACCGCGCGGUAUCGGAUCCAAUCUCGAGAAGCUGGUCUUAAGACAGGCUGCAAGCGAGCUGCUCGGCGUAGCUCCAAUAAAGCAGACCUGUCGAACACGUCGAUGGCAUCAUGAAAUGAUCCGGUUGUAAAAGGUAACCGGAUUUUUGGACUGGCCGCACGGCAAUCGCAAGGUUGCCGGAUGGUCUGAAGUCCAAAUAUGGAUGAGCAUUGGCAAUGAGAACGAUUAAGUGUCGUAAGGGCAUUUGGUGGAUGCCUUGGCAUGCACAGGCGAUGAAGGACGUGAUACGCUGCGAAAAGCCGUGGGGAGCUGCGAAUGAGCUU